RNAcentral lists this ribosomal RNA (465 nucleotides) under uncultured bacterium. RNAcentral describes it as "partial 16S ribosomal RNA". It matches the Rfam family "Bacterial small subunit ribosomal RNA", at positions 28 to 507 of the family's 1533-position model. The record is from RNAcentral.
GACGAACGCUGGCGGCGUGCUUAACACAUGCAAGUCGAACGGAAAGGCCCCUUUGGGGGUACUCGAGUGGCGAACGGGUGAGUAACACGUGAGUAACCUGCCCUUGACUUCGGGAUAACUUCAGGAAACUGGGGCUAAUACCGGAUAGGAAUCCUUGCUGCAUGGUGGGGGUUGGAAAGCUUCGGCGGUUUUGGAUGGACUCGCGGCUUAUCAGCUUGUUGGUGGGGUAGUGGCUUACCAAGGCUUUGACGGGUAGCCGGCCUGAGAGGGCGACCGACCACAUUGGGACUGAGAUACGGCCCAGACUCCUACGGGAGGCAGCAGUGGGGAAUAUUGCACAAUGGGCGGAAGCCUGAUGCAGCAACGCCGCGUGCGGGAUGACGGCCUUCGGGUUGUAAACCGCUUUCAGCAGGGGCGAAGCUUGUGGUGACGGUACCUGCAGAAGAAGCACCGGCUAACUACGUG